Melanotaenia boesemani (Boeseman's rainbowfish) is the source of this 676-nucleotide long non-coding RNA. RefSeq lists it as uncharacterized. The record is from RefSeq and is a predicted model, not a curated record. The transcript has 4 exons. NCBI's taxonomy places the organism in Eukaryota, Metazoa, Chordata, Actinopteri, Atheriniformes, Melanotaeniidae.
AGCGGGGGAGGUAUGAUCCGUGAUGUUAGCUGCACAGGUUAGCGGGGGAGGUAUGAUCCAGGACUUUAGCUGCACAGGUUAGCGGGGGAGGUAUGAUCGGGGACGUUAGCUCAACAGGUUAGAUAGGGAGGUAUGAUCCGAGAUGUUAGCUGCAUAGGUUAGCGGGGGAGGUAUGAUCCUGGACUUUAGCUACACAGGUUAGCGGGGGAGGUAUGAUCCAGGACUUUAGCUGCACAGGUUAGCGGGACAGGUAUGAUCAGGGACUUUAGCGCCACAGGUCAGCGGGGCAGGUAUGAUCCAGGAUUUUAACUCAACAGGUUAGAUAGGGAGGUAUGAUCCUGGACUUUAGCUCCACAGGUUAGCGAGGGAGGUAUGAUCGGGGACUUUAGCGCCACAGGUCAGCGGGGCAGGUAUGAUCCAGGAUUUUAACUCAACAGGUUAGAUAGGGAGGUAUGAUCCUGGACUUUAGCUCCACAGGUUAGCGAGGGAGGUAUGAUCGGGGACGUUAGCUCAAUAGGUUAGCGAGGGAGGUAUGAUCCGAGAUGUUAGCUGUACAGGUUAGCGGGGGAGGUACUUUCCGUGAUGUUAGCUACACAGGUUAGCUAGCGAGGUAUGAUCCGAGAUGUUAACUGCACAGGUUAGCGGGGGAGGUAUGAUCCAGGACUUUAUCUGCACA